AUCCUCCGACAACCAUACAGAUAGGGCUUUCCCCUUCGGGGGACAGAGUGACAGGUGGUGCAUGGUUGUCGUCAGCUCGUGUCGUGAGAUGUUGGGUUAAGUCCCGCAACGAGCGCAACCCUUGAUUUUAGUUGCCAGCUUCAGUUGGGCACUCUAAGAUGACUGCCGGUGACAAACCGGAGGAAGGUGGGGAUGACGUCAAAUCAUCAUGCCCCUUAUGACCUGGGCUACACACGUGCUACAAUGGACGGUACAAAGGGCUGCAAGACCGCGAGGUUUAGCCAAUCCCAUCGUUCUCAGUUCGGAUUGUAGGCUGCAACUCGCUACA
This 328-nucleotide ribosomal RNA is filed under the name Rossellomorea aquimaris. Its description in RNAcentral is "bacterial SSU rRNA". It matches the Rfam family "Bacterial small subunit ribosomal RNA", at positions 986 to 1320 of the family's 1533-position model. The record is from RNAcentral. Lineage: Bacteria; Bacillati; Bacillota; Bacilli; Caryophanales; Bacillaceae.